UACAGCCACCGUGAAAAAAAAAACCAACAAAAAUAUUGUUUUGCAAUCAAAACUGAACAAAAAAAAAUAUGCCUGCCUGCCCACUAACUCCCCAACCAGUCACCAUCAGUCACCACCAGUCACCGGUAGGAGCCAGGUCGUCAGUCACUUGACAGUCCGAUGCUGUCCGUCACUCCGUCUGUUACCCCUUCAAAAAGACUUCUUCGGGCUACCUCAACCUCUAGCGGCUUAGGAGCAUCGUGAAUCCAUCGAACAGCCGACGCGAUAAGAACGAAUACUACUCUUCUGUCAAAAUCUCGACGCGUCAGUCCGUCCGUCCGUCCCAACUUCUACUACUACUGCUACUACUACUACUACUACUACCUACUACUACUACUACUACUACUACUACUACUACUACUCGUCCACCAUCACGUUAAACUUAGCCGACAACGCGACCGCCACUUCUCUUCGACCAAGCGCAAAGCAAAAUGAUCACCUACACACCAUCCUACCACCACCCAACCAAGUACCAUCACCACCACCAACCACCACUACAUGUUCACAGUUGUCUGCAAAUCUUUAGUACGAUGUGCAACAGUUGGAUCAUUAAAAGCAACGAGAAAUGAUUUAUCAACAUGUCGAAUGCGCAGCAUCGGUUGUCAGUGACCAAAUAGAUUUCAAUGUUUCAAUUAUUAAAAUCAAUAAAAUUUUAAAUACAA
Long non-coding RNA from Polistes dominula (European paper wasp), 701 nucleotides. The record is from RefSeq and is a predicted model, not a curated record. NCBI's taxonomy places the organism in Eukaryota, Metazoa, Arthropoda, Insecta, Hymenoptera, Vespidae.